AUGUGUACAUGGUACGGGUGCUGUAGGUUUGGUUUUUGGUGCCACAGUUCACUUUAAAUUCUAAAAAAUGAUUUUAACAGCUGUUCCUGAUCAAGCCAUUGACGAAAUGAACACCAGUGUCAUGUGGCUCUGUAACCUGGUGACCUACCAUCGGCUAUAAUUAUUAUCAUGUAUUUAUAAUUUUUGCAUCAAAAUUUGGUUGGUUGGUAUACAUGACAUGAGUAACAUAAUGUCAACUUCCCAUUACACUAAGGGCUCUGUAUGUUCUUCUGAGAAACAGUAGAUGUAGUGUUUGGUGCUUUUCUAAAGAUGUACAAGAAAGAGUCUGCUGUAUCUAAUUGGAACAGUUUACAGUUGCAGUAUCGCUAAACUGCACUAGACUAAUGCUGCUGACCACAACCCUAACCCUUAUAGGCAGAAUGCUGCACUAUAAUGCUAUGCCUAAUACACUUGAAUGUGUAGCAGUGUAACACUAUAAAGGUACCGAGUGCUGUCAUAGUGAUGUCACAUCCUGUGCUCCAUCAUUAAAGCUUUCAUGGUUUGCUUCUGCAUUUAUGGCACGCCUUGUCUAGCCAGAGAACUAACAUGAUUAUACUAAUUAUCAUCAAACUGAUAAUUCUGCAACAUAUUUCAGAAUCUAGUGAUGUUACACAGACAUCAACAUUAUGGGUUUCACAGGGUGAAUCUGCAAGAAUGGAGUGCAAUCAUACUAAAGGUGGAUUCUAUAGGUAUAUGUACUGGUUUCGACAGCGGCAGAGAGAAACAAUGAGACUCAUUGCCUUCACAAUGCCAGAUGUCAAGCCAGACUUUGGUGAAUAUUCUGAUGAUAAAUACUCGGCUGAAAAGACUGUAGCUGAGAGUGGAUCUUUCACAGUGAAUAAGCUGCAGCCUGACGACAGUGGUGUGUAUUUCUGUGCAGUGAGUGAACACAGUGACACAGACUGACUGAACUGCUGUACAAAAACCCAAACUUCCUUAACAUCCUUAAUUAAUUUUGUUGCAUAAAACUAAUUUUUUUUUUUUUUAUCUAAAGUGGUGGGCAGUCAAGCAGCCAUAUUUAAGAGUCUUUCUCAAGGGCACAAUAUGCUUAUACUCUAAGUAUUACCUCCUGUAUGGUGAGGGAGUUCAAUCUAUAAGGUUCCAAAUAAGAUCUUUUUCCACUAGGCUAAACCACCCAACUUUACAUCUAUUCACACAUUUAAACUCUCAAAACUCUCUAACUGAACUAUUCAUGAUGAUUUCUUUAUUUUAUUUAUUUUUGUAUCACUAAGAUUGCUUGCCACUAUCUAUAAGAUAUGGACAUUUAAACUGAAUUUACAGUAAAUAUUGUAUGUUUCUUGGCAAAAGACGAAAGACGAUUAAUCUGUCAUUAAAUAAUAUUAUAAAGAAAGAGUGAUGCCAUUGUGAUGUCACUUCCUGUGCCUCACCAUUAAAGUGCCCAUUACUUUCUUUCUGUAUUUGAGAUUUCUAUUCUAUUCUAUUCUAUUCUUGUCACAGUGUCUGUUCUGUGUCUCCCUGGGUGGCCACUAGAGGUCUCACUUCCCCUGAUUGUCACCCCCUUCUGAACUACAUUUCCCACUAGCCUUAUCUGUUCAUCACUGUUCAUUGUGUUCAGCUGUCACCACUUACCUUGUUUGCACCUGUCUGUAAAUACCCUGGUUGUUUCUGUCAUUGUUACGGAGUCCUUGUUGAAUGUCACCCUGCGUUUUCCUGGUUCCCUGGUGGAUGUUCGUGGUUCAUGUUUUGGACUGUUUAUGUUUGGUUUCUCCCCCUGCCUGGACUGUUUAUGAUUUUGGAUUGCCCUAAUAAAACAUACUGCAUUUGGAUCUACCUGUCUGUGUGCGUUACGUGACAGAAGGACUCCG
This is a long non-coding RNA of Cyprinus carpio carpio, 1865 nucleotides long. The record is from Ensembl. NCBI's taxonomy places the organism in Eukaryota, Metazoa, Chordata, Actinopteri, Cypriniformes, Cyprinidae.